This 268-nucleotide unclassified non-coding RNA is filed under the name uncultured fungus. RNAcentral's name for it is "sequence contains ITS1, 5.8S rRNA gene". The stretch from base 220 to 268 matches the Rfam family "5.8S ribosomal RNA", at positions 1 to 49 of the family's 154-position model. Lineage: Eukaryota; Fungi. The record is from RNAcentral.
UUUCCGUAGGUGAACCUGCGGAAGGAUCAUUAACGUGUUUGGGUCCCCUCGGGGGCCCGACAUCCCACCCUUUGCCGUUUACAAAACAAGUUGCUUCGGCGGGCCGGACGCGGAAACGCGGCCGCCGGUCCCAUAGUCGCCCGGAGAGCGCCCGCCGGAGGAUUACAAACACUAGCCUUUGAACGAGUACGUCAGAGUAAUGAAUAACAAAUAAUUCAAAACUUUCAACAACGGAUCUCUUGGUUCUGGCAUCGAUGAAGAACGCAGC